Non-coding RNA from Vicugna pacos (alpaca), 647 nucleotides. NCBI's taxonomy places the organism in Eukaryota, Metazoa, Chordata, Mammalia, Artiodactyla, Camelidae. The record is from RefSeq and is a predicted model, not a curated record.
GUAUCAUCUUGCUUUUCUCCUAAAAGAGAAUUUCACCAACUCCUUUAAGGAGUAAAAAUGACACUAAAAAAUAUUAUGGCAUAUUUCAGAGUCUGUUUGUGUGAACAGAAAAGAAGCAGAGGGACAGGCAUAGUGAAACAGCGUCUCGUUUCUGAGGCCCUCCUUGGGCAGAACUGUGCGGGUGACAAGGCUGGGUAUCAAAGUUGCUGCCUCCUGACUGUCUGUCCUCGAACUCUGGUGUGCUGCUUCUGUUUCUGGUGUUCUUGGAAUCUCUCCCUUAUCUACCUUUUCCUAAACUCUGCACAAUGCACAUUUAUUGUUCCCACUAGGAGAUGGAUAUGGUUUCAUAUCUUCUAAAUUUUUUAUUAUAACAAAUAUAAAAUUAUUAAAUUAGAAGAAUUUUGGUGUUUCAGUUCUUAGUUUCACCUUGGUAAUAAUAGUGAUCAGAGGGUCUAUCAGUCUACCCCCGAGUGUAGCAGAUUACACGUUAGAAAUAGCUUAAGGGAACGCUCAGACUUGGGUGUUAUGAAUUUUAGAUUUGUGUCUGAUCUCUUUGAUUUGUGCUGAUUGACCUUUGGAAAGUCCAGAAACCUCUGAGAAUCUUAGAUCUGUGGAAGCUUUGGGUAAAUAAAAGCAAUUCUUUUUCA